This 449-nucleotide ribosomal RNA is filed under the name uncultured bacterium. Its description in RNAcentral is "partial 16S ribosomal RNA". It matches the Rfam family "Bacterial small subunit ribosomal RNA", at positions 29 to 523 of the family's 1533-position model. The record is from RNAcentral.
AGCGAACGCUGGCGGCAGGCUUAACACAUGCAAGUCGAGCGGGUCCUUCGGGGUCAGCGGCGGACGGGUGAGUAACGCGUGGGAACGUGCCUUCUGGUUCGGAAUAACCCUGGGAAACUAGGGCUAAUGCCGGAUACGCCCUUUUGGGGAAAGGUUUACUGCCGGAAGAUCGGCCCGCGUCUGAUUAGCUGGUUGGUGGGGUAACGGCCUACCAAGGCGACGAUCAGUAGCUGGUCUGAGAGGAUGAUCAGCCACACUGGGACUGAGACACGGCCCAGACUCCGACGGGAGGCAGCAGUGGGGAAUAUUGAACAAUGGGCGCAAGCCUGAUCCAGCCAUGCCGCGUGAGUGAUGAAGGCCUUAGGGUCGUAAAGCUCUUUUAUCCGGGACGAUAUUGACGGUACCGGAGGAAUAAGCCCCGGCUAACUUCGUGCCAGCCGCCGCGGUAA